This 253-nucleotide ribosomal RNA is filed under the name uncultured bacterium. Its description in RNAcentral is "partial 16S ribosomal RNA". It matches the Rfam family "Bacterial small subunit ribosomal RNA", at positions 524 to 776 of the family's 1533-position model. The record is from RNAcentral.
UACGUAGGGGGCAAGCGUUGUCCGGAUUUAUUGGGCGUAAAGAGCGUGUAGGCGGCCAAGCAGGUCCGCUGUGAAAACUCGAGGCUCAACCUCGAGACGUCGGCGGAAACCAUCUGGCUAGAGUCCGGAAGAGGAGAGUGGAAUUCCUGGUGUAGCGGUGAAAUGCGCAGAUAUCAGGAAGAACACCCGUGGCGAAGGCGGCUCUCUGGGACGGUACUGACGCUGAGACGCGAAAGCGUGGGGAGCGAACAGG